Trichonephila clavipes is the source of this 73-nucleotide non-coding RNA. Lineage: Eukaryota; Metazoa; Arthropoda; Arachnida; Araneae; Nephilidae. The record is from the annotation of a GenBank genome assembly.
GUCCCUGUAACGCAAUGGAUAGCGCAUUGCACUUCUAAUUCAAAGAUCGUGGGUUCGUUUCCCACCUGGGAUG